AGGACGAACGCUGGCGGCGUGCUUAACACAUGCAAGUCGAGCGGAAAGGCCCUUCGGGGUACUCGAGCGGCGAACGGGUGAGUAACACGUGAGUAACCUGCCCCUAGCUCUGGGAUAGCUCCGGGAAACCGGGAUUAAAUACCAGAUACGACCACUUUAGACAUCUGUCGUGGUGGAAAGGAUUCCGGCUAGGGAUGGGCUCGCGGCCUAUCAGCUUGUUGGUGGGGUAACGGCCUACCAAGGCGACGACGGGUAGCCGGCCUGAGAGGGCGACCGGCCACACUGGGACUGAGACACGGCCCAGACUCCUACGGGAGGCAGCAGUGGGAAUUUGCGCAAUGGGGGAAACCCUGACGCAGCAACGCCGCGUGGAGGAUGAAGUCCCUUGGGACGUAAACUCCUUUCGACCCGACGAUAAUGACGGUACGGUGGAAGAAGCCCCGGCUAACUUCGUGCCAGCAGCCGC
Molecule: ribosomal RNA, 466 nt
Filed under: uncultured bacterium
Lineage: Bacteria
Description: SSU rRNA
Rfam family: Bacterial small subunit ribosomal RNA
Source: RNAcentral